This 468-nucleotide ribosomal RNA is filed under the name uncultured bacterium. RNAcentral describes it as "partial 16S ribosomal RNA". It matches the Rfam family "Bacterial small subunit ribosomal RNA", at positions 28 to 507 of the family's 1533-position model. The record is from RNAcentral.
GACGAACGCUGGCGGCGUGCUUAACACAUGCAAGUCGAACGGAAAGGCCCUGCUUUUGUGGGGUGCUCGAGUGGCGAACGGGUGAGUAACACGUGAGUAACCUGCCCUUGACUUUGGGAUAACUUCAGGAAACUGGGGCUAAUACCGGAUAGGAGCUCCUGCUGCAUGGUGGGGGUUGGAAAGUUUCGGCGGUUGGGGAUGGACUCGCGGCUUAUCAGCUUGUUGGUGGGGUAGUGGCUUACCAAGGCUUUGACGGGUAGCCGGCCUGAGAGGGUGACCGGCCACAUUGGGACUGAGAUACGGCCCAGACUCCUACGGGAGGCAGCAGUGGGGAAUAUUGCACAAUGGGAGGAAGCCUGAUGCAGCAACGCCGCGUGCGGGAUGACGGCCUUCGGGUUGUAAACCGCUUUCGACUGUGACGAAGCGUGAGUGACGGUAAUGGGUAAAGAAGCACCGGCUAACUACGUG